RNAcentral lists this ribosomal RNA (820 nucleotides) under Longidorus aetnaeus. RNAcentral describes it as "SSU rRNA". It matches the Rfam family "Eukaryotic small subunit ribosomal RNA", at positions 50 to 869 of the family's 1831-position model. The record is from RNAcentral. Lineage: Eukaryota; Metazoa; Nematoda; Enoplea; Dorylaimida; Longidoridae.
CAUGCAUGUCUAAGCACAUGCCUUAAUACGGUGAAGCCGCGAAUAGCUCAUUACAACAGCCAUCGUUUACUAGAAAAUAGUUUCCUACUUGGAUAACUGUGGCAAUUCUAGAGCUAAUACAUGCAAAAAAGCUCAGACUGAAAGGAAUGAGCGCAUUUAUUAGAAUAAAAACCAAUCGGGUCUAAAAGCCCGCUGUUUGGUGAAUCUGAAUAACUUUGCUGAUCGCACGGUCUCGUACCGGCGACGUAUCUUUCAAGUGUCUGCCUUAUCAACUUUCGAUGGUAGGUUAUACGCCUACCAUGGUAGUAACGGGUAACGGAGAAUAAGGGUUCGACUCCGGAGAGGGAGCCUGAGAAACGGCUACCACAUCCAAGGAAGGCAGCAGGCGCGCAAAUUACCCACUUCCAGAACGGAGAGGUAGUGACGAAAAAUAACGAGACAGUCCUCUCUGAGGUCUGUCAUCGGAAUGGGUACAAUUUAAAUCCUUUAACGAGGAUCUAUUGGAGGGCAAGUCUGGUGCCAGCAGCCGCGGUAAUUCCAGCUCCAAUAGCGUAUAUUAAAGUUGUUGCGGUUAAAACGCUCGUAGUUGAAUCUGCGGCCUGGGAGAAUGGACCCCCGAAAGGGUGGUAACUGUUACUCCUAGCCUAAAUUUUUAGUCUACUCUAUGGUGCCUUUAACCGGGUGCUUAGAGUGACUGGAACGUUUACUUUGAAAAAAUUAGAGUGCUUAAAGCAGGCGAAUUUGCCUGAAUAAGGUGCAUGGAAUAAUGGAAUAGGACCUCGGUUCUAUUUUGUUGGUUUUCGGAGCCUGAGGUAAUGAU